AAUGAACGCUGGCGGCGUGCUUAACACAUGCAAGUCGUACGAGAACUCUUUAGCUUGCUAAAGAUAGUAAAGUGGCGUACGGGUGAGUAACGCGUGGGUAAUCUACCUCCGAAUCGGGGAUAACCCGCCGAAAGGCGAGCUAAUACCGGAUAAUAUCUAUAAAAUUUCGGUUUUAAAGAUCAAAGGUGGUCUCUACAUGUAAGCUACUGUUUGGAGAUGAGCCCGCGUACCAUUAGCUUGUUGGUAGGGUAAUGGCCUACCAAGGCUUCGAUGGUUAGCUGGUCUGAGAGGAUGAUCAGCCACACUGGAACUGACACACGGUCCAGACUCCUACGGGAGGCAGCAGUGAGGAAUUUUGCGCAAUGGGGGAAACCCUGACGCAGCAACGCCGCGUGAGUGAUGAAGGCUUUCGGGUCGUAAAGCUCUGUCAAGUGGGAAGAAUAUGCUUGAUGCUAAUACCAUCUUGCACUGACGGUACCACUGAAGGAAGCACCGGCUAACUCCGUGCCAGCAGCCGCGGUAAUACGGGGGGUGCAAGCGUUAUUCGGAAUUAUUGGGCGUAAAGGGCGCGUAGGCGGUCUUUUAAGUCAGAUGUGAAAGCCCGGGGCUUAACCCCGGAAGUGCAUUUGAAACUAAGGGACUUGAGUAUGGGAGAGGGAAGUGGAAUUCCUGGUGUAGAGGUGAAAUUCGUAGAUAUCAGGAGGAACACCGGUGGCGAACGCGACUUUCUGGACCAAUACUGACGCUGAGGCGCGAAGGCGUGGGGAGCAACAGAUUAGAUACUCCUGGUAGUC
Molecule: ribosomal RNA, 794 nt
Filed under: uncultured bacterium
Lineage: Bacteria
Description: bacterial SSU rRNA
Rfam family: Bacterial small subunit ribosomal RNA
Source: RNAcentral